This 271-nucleotide ribosomal RNA is filed under the name uncultured archaeon. RNAcentral's name for it is "partial 16S ribosomal RNA". It matches the Rfam family "Archaeal small subunit ribosomal RNA", at positions 477 to 747 of the family's 1478-position model. The record is from RNAcentral.
CAGCGCCACGAGUGGCAACCGCGAUUAUUGGGCCUAAAGCGUCCGUAGCCGGGUUGAUAAAUCCUUUGUGAAAUUGUACGGCUUAACCGUACAACGUGCAAGGGACACUGUCGACCUCGAGACCGGGAGGAGUCAGAAGUAUUCCAGAGGGAGCGGUAAAAUGUUAUAAUCUCUGGAGGAUUACCUGUGGCGAAGGCGUCUGACCUGAACGGAUCUGACGGUGAGGGACGAAAGCCAGGGGAGCGAACCGGAUUAGAUACCCGAGUAGUCC